Molecule: ribosomal RNA, 301 nt
Filed under: uncultured bacterium
Lineage: Bacteria
Description: partial 16S ribosomal RNA
Rfam family: Bacterial small subunit ribosomal RNA
Source: RNAcentral
CAGUCGCCGCGGGAAUACGAAGGGUGCAAGCGUUACUCGGAAUUACUGGGCGUAAAGCGUGCGUAGGUGGUGGUUUAAGUCCGUUGUGAAAGCCCUGGGCUCAACCUGGGAAUUGCAGUGGAUACUGGGUCACUAGAGUGUGGUAGAGGAUAGUGGAAUUUCCGGUGUAGCAGUGAAAUGCGUAGAGAUCGGAAGGAACAUCUGUGGCGAAGGCGACUAUCUGGGCCAACACUGACACUGAGGCACGAAAGCGUGGGGAGCAAACAGGAUUAGAGACCCGGGUAGUCCCUGUCUCUUAUAA